UAAGGGGGAGUCUACUGAUAAGAUGAAUGUUUGGCUUAUGACACAUAGAGUAGAUGACCCAGAGAUUAUCCAGACCUUGGAUGAGUUUAAUCGGCAACUCUCUAUGCUACUUAAGGAUUGUCGGACUUUGGAGGCUAGGAAUGCCAUUUUCCAUGAGUUGAGGGAGGAGCUGCGAGCAGAGUUCUCUACACAUUUACAGCAGAUGAGAGCUGAGAUGAUGGCCUUAGUGUCAUAGGGGGCGAGUGUGGAUCCUAACAGACAGGUUCCUGAUGCAUCGAGUGGCCACCGGGCAUUUAGGGAAUCUACAGAAGACGAGAAUCC
Non-coding RNA from Camellia sinensis, 321 nucleotides. The record is from RefSeq and is a predicted model, not a curated record. Lineage: Eukaryota; Viridiplantae; Streptophyta; Magnoliopsida; Ericales; Theaceae.